UACAGAGGUCUCAAGCGUUGUUCGGAUUCAUUGGGCGUAAAGGGUGUGUAGGUGGCGCCGUAAGUCGGGUGUGAAAUUUCGGAGCUUAACUCCGAAACUGCAUUCGAUACUGCGGUGCUUGAGGACUGGAGAGGAGACUGGAAUUUACGGUGUAGCAGUGAAAUGCGUAGAUAUCGUAAGGAAGACCAGUGGCGAAGGCGGCCAUCUGGGACAACACUGACGCUGAAGCACGAAAGCGUGGGGAGCAAACAGG
This 253-nucleotide ribosomal RNA is filed under the name uncultured bacterium. Its description in RNAcentral is "partial 16S ribosomal RNA". It matches the Rfam family "Bacterial small subunit ribosomal RNA", at positions 524 to 776 of the family's 1533-position model. The record is from RNAcentral.